Molecule: long non-coding RNA, 105 nt
Organism: Homarus americanus (American lobster)
Lineage: Eukaryota; Metazoa; Arthropoda; Malacostraca; Decapoda; Nephropidae
Exons: 3
Source: RefSeq, a predicted model, not a curated record
UCUCCCCAUCAGGUCACUUUCUCAGGUAUGGUAUCCCCAUCAGGUCACUUUCUCAGGUAUGGUCUCCCCAUCAGGUCACUUUCUCAGGUAUGGUCUCCCCAUCAG